This 593-nucleotide ribosomal RNA is filed under the name uncultured bacterium. RNAcentral's name for it is "bacterial SSU rRNA". It matches the Rfam family "Bacterial small subunit ribosomal RNA", at positions 69 to 650 of the family's 1533-position model. The record is from RNAcentral.
GCAGCAUUUUAGUUUGCUUGCAAACUAAAGAUGGCGACCGGCGCACGGGUGAGUAACACGUAUCCAACCUGCCGAUAACUCGGGGAUAGCCUUUCGAAAGAAAGAUUAAUAUCCGAUAGUAUAUUAAAACCGCAUGGUUUUACUAUUAAAGAAUUUCGGUUAUCGAUGGGGAUGCGUUCCAUUAGUUUGUUGGCGGGGUAACGGCCCACCAAGACUACGAUGGAUAGGGGUUCUGAGAGGAAGGUCCCCCACAUUGGAACUGAGACACGGUCCAAACUCCUACGGGAGGCAGCAGUGAGGAAUAUUGGUCAAUGGACGAGAGUCUGAACCAGCCAAGUAGCGUGAAGGAUGACUGCCCUAUGGGUUGUAAACUUCUUUUAUAUGGGAAUAAAGUAUUCCACGUGUGGAAUUUUGUAUGUACCAUAUGAAUAAGGAUCGGCUAACUCCGUGCCAGCAGCCGCGGUAAUACGGAGGAUCCGAGCGUUAUCCGGAUUUAUUGGGUUUAAAGGGAGCGUAGGUGGAUUGUUAAGUCAGUUGUGAAAGUUUGCGGCUCAACCGUAAAAUUGCAGUUGAAACUGGCAGUCUUGAGUACA